RNAcentral lists this long non-coding RNA (225 nucleotides) under Ictidomys tridecemlineatus (thirteen-lined ground squirrel). Its description in RNAcentral is "lncRNA (ENSSTOG00000029555.1)". Lineage: Eukaryota; Metazoa; Chordata; Mammalia; Rodentia; Sciuridae. The record is from RNAcentral.
GUAGCCCAUGGAGCAGCUCUGGAGGCCAAGAGAACCACCUGGCCAGAGCCUGCAGAGAACACCUGGGGACGGGGACGCAGGAUGGUUGCCUGCAUCAAACCUUCUUCCGAGUUGCUCCCAGGGUCCUUUUGGAGAGGCAGCUUGCAAAAGGGAUGGAAAGCAGGGACUCCAGAGUCUGACCCUCAUUGUUUUGAAUCCAGCUUUUUACCAGACUUAAGAGUGUGA